Molecule: long non-coding RNA, 2720 nt
Filed under: Rattus norvegicus (Norway rat)
Lineage: Eukaryota; Metazoa; Chordata; Mammalia; Rodentia; Muridae
Description: long non-coding RNA NONRATT008369
Source: RNAcentral
UCAUUUGAGUAGCGAGUAUUUAAUUUGCCCAGUCAAGGCACCGUGUUUAUAUACUAUUUCACAUUGAAUUUGAUUAUGCCCUACAGACCUGGCUGGUCAAGGAUUUGAUAUACACAUAUUGGCUUGGGAUUCGAGCUUUCUUUUUUAUUUAAAUAAAAAUUUAUAUAUAUAUUAUAUAUAUACAUAUAUACAUGGCUAUAUCUGUAUAUAUAUCGGGUAUGUUUUAAAGAUUUCUUCGCAUGAGCGCAGCUGUUGCAAUAAGAUGACUGAUUGGGAGGUAGAGGCACCGAUGACGGUGAGGCAUUUCUCAGUUGAUGCAUACAUUUUCCUUUUAAUUUUAAGUACACAUUUGUACAUUUGGUUUUUUGGCCUUUUUUUUUUUAAGAUAAAAUGUCUCUUACAUUUAUACUUUGCUCAUUAUUUAUUGAGAUAAGGAAAGAAAUGUCUGACAGGAUUUUUAUUUUUCUGCAUAUCUAUAAAACACCACAUUAUUGGCCUCUUGCCUUCAAAAGACAGAUUUGGGUAGAUCUUAUCUCCUUUGGACAGUCAGAUAAUUCCUAAGUCUUAGAAGCAGAUGGGUUUUUGUUGUUGUUUUGACAUUGGAAUAACUAGGGGGAAAUCUGCAUAUUGGUUUUCUUGGAGUUAAGAAUAAAAGUAAAUUUCCAUCAUAGUGUGUCUGGAACCCCAAUGUACACUCCGCUGCGGUGCACUAGUAUCCUUUUAGGUGUAUUUUUAUUUAGGGAGACAAUUAGUCUUAAAUGGUAGUAUAAGUUCCCCAAGCCCCUGUCUCUAUAGCCAAUCUGGGUUGGGUAGAAAGUGGAAGACUGUGCCUACAAUUUUACUAUUUGGUCAUUUUCCCUUACCAAUUUUUAGGUGUUUUUUUUGGGGGGGGGGGGAUUGUCAGUAUUGUCUGUGCCCACUGGCAGGUUUAGGGAUUCAAUAAAAACUCACAAGUUUGAGGGUUUUUGUCCCUUUGACAACUCGGUGUUAUGAAGCAACAAUAAACUGAAGUCUGACUUCAUGACUCUUAAUUACUGUUUCUGUUAAAAUCUGAAAAGCAUUGGUUUUUAUUUGUGUCUGUAGAGACAUUUAAAAAAUGAAGCCCGUCAAAUAGGAAGUAAAGCUUGUGCACAGCCACCAGCCCUACCCUUUUUAGGACAGUCUUACCAAAUAGCCCACGCUGGUUCUGAACUCACGAUCCUUCUGCUUCAGCCUUGUGAGCGCUGGGAUUUCAGGCAGAUGACACCAUGCUCACCACCAUCUGCAGUAUGUGUGGCUUUUCGCUGAAAUGGUUUCUUUUGAAGAUGAUUACUUUUUAUUGUAUCCAAGAAUAAGAAUCAUCUCAGAUGAACAAGGACAAUUCUGGAAGGGCUACACAGCAUUUCAUGCAUCUUGUUCAGAAACGAGGCCAGAAUAGUAAGUUAACUGUAGUGAGUUAAGAGGUACUUUGGCUCAUUCUGUUUUCAGUGAGUCUCUAGAAAAUGAUAAAGGAAAGGAGAAUGGGAUAUCUAGACUCAGUCUCCUGCUUAGAGUCAGAGCCUGAAUGUGACCAAAGAACCACUCCUUACUACUUUUCUAGUUAAACAGAACUUGGACCAUAGGUUUCUAGUAGUGAUGUUCAAAUGGCAUCAAUGUUCAAGACACUAUUAUUAGUAAUUACAAAUAUUCAACAACUCAGAAUGUAUGAGAACUUGUUUGGCACGUACGGCAUUAAUGUGGGUCAUUCCUUCUCUCAUCUUCCUCCCCUUGUGUUUUUUCCCAUGUAUUUAUUUUGCCUAACAGCAGAAGAUGGAUACAAUUCUCCCAUGCUACUUGGAUACAUGGUCCCCUUAGACUCUCAUGAGCUUCAGUGUGGGAGCUUGAAAUUUAGUUCCUAAAUUUCUUAUGAUUGUCUUUUUUCUUUUCUUCCUGACCCCUUGCCAUUCUGCAGUUUCCCCUUGACUUACCCAAUCUGUAACAGUGACAGUUUGCUGCUUCUAAACAGAGCAUUCAAAUGAAUUCGCUUAGCCAAUGACUUCUGUGAAGUUGCCUUUUCUAAUGGCGUUAUUACUCAGUGAUGCACAGAUGUGGUAUUUGCCCUACUGGCAGGCAAGCAAAGGUCUGGCAAAGAAUGAUAACCUGCUAUUUCUUUAAGGAGCGCCAAAGACUUGUGCUUUACUCUGUUUUGGUUUUAGGGGAAAUAGUAGCCAUUUUGAUUAUGAAAUCUGGUAGUAUUUGUAAGUUGAUUGUACUGUGUAAAUGUCUAAAGUUAGCUGUUAAGGGUUAGCUGGCCUUAUAAAAUGUAAAAGGAAUGAAAAUUUAUCAGUUUCUCUAAACCAGUAAAUAUCAUCCUUGACAAUAUUUGUUUAAGCAACUCACUCUCCCUUUGGGGAUCUCUUGAUGUGAUACUAUCUUCUGUGUCUUUCUGUCCUUUCACUCGUGCCUACAGGACAAUGGACUUUCACUAUGUCAAGUCCUGGGUCUGGGGAUCCCUCCUGAGCUUGACGCUUGUGAGAAACAAUUAACUAGUUACUUAGUACCCUCUCGGCUUAUGUUCAGGGACAGCUUAGUUUCACUACAUGGGAUUCAUUUGCUAUUACUUUUAUGUACAAAUGGAGGUAGAAUGAAAUUUCACUAUAUUUUUCACUUGGGCUUUUAAAGAAUCAAGUAAAGAGUUCAAUAUGUAAAAUCUUUGUGUAAAAACCAUCUAUGAUGAUUUAUUAAAAGAUAUGCCUAAUUAG